RNAcentral lists this transfer RNA (76 nucleotides) under Lysobacteraceae bacterium SCN 69-320. RNAcentral's name for it is "Xanthomonadaceae bacterium SCN 69-320 tRNA-Ala". It matches the Rfam family "tRNA". Rfam says of the family: Transfer RNA (tRNA) molecules are approximately 80 nucleotides in length. Their secondary structure includes four short double-helical elements and three loops (D, anti-codon, and T loops). Further hydrogen bonds mediate the characteristic L-shaped molecular structure. tRNAs have two regions of fundamental functional importance: the anti-codon, which is responsible for specific mRNA codon recognition, and the 3' end, to which the tRNAs corresponding amino acid is attached (by aminoacyl-tRNA synthetases). tRNAs cope with the degeneracy of the genetic code in two manners: having more than one tRNA (with a specific anti-codon) for a particular amino acid; and 'wobble' base-pairing, i.e. permitting non-standard base-pairing at the 3rd anti-codon position. RNAcentral also lists the same sequence under 9 other names. Lineage: Bacteria; Pseudomonadati; Pseudomonadota; Gammaproteobacteria; Lysobacterales; Lysobacteraceae. The record is from RNAcentral.
GGGGCUAUAGCUCAGCUGGGAGAGCGCUACAAUGGCAUUGUAGAGGUCGUCGGUUCGAUCCCGACUAGCUCCACCA